RNAcentral lists this ribosomal RNA (253 nucleotides) under uncultured bacterium. Its description in RNAcentral is "partial 16S ribosomal RNA". It matches the Rfam family "Bacterial small subunit ribosomal RNA", at positions 524 to 776 of the family's 1533-position model. The record is from RNAcentral.
UACAGAGGUCUCAAGCGUUGUUCGGAUUCAUUGGGCGUAAAGGGUGCGUAGGCGGCUUGUCGCGUCGACUGUGAAAACCCGCGGCUCAACCGCGGGCCUGCAGCCGAUACGGGCAGGCUAGAGUUCGGUAGGGGAGACUGGAAUUCCUGGUGUAGCGGUGAAAUGCGCAGAUAUCAGGAGGAACACCGAUGGCGAAGGCAGGUCUCUGGGCCGAUACUGACGCUGAGGAGCGAAAGCGUGGGGAGCGAACAGG